This is a microRNA precursor of Strigamia maritima, 97 nucleotides long. It matches the Rfam family "mir-130 microRNA precursor family". From Rfam's summary of the family: The hairpin precursors (represented here) are predicted based on base pairing and cross-species conservation -- their extents are not known. In this case the mature sequence is excised from the 3' arm of the hairpin. The record is from Rfam. NCBI's taxonomy places the organism in Eukaryota, Metazoa, Arthropoda, Chilopoda, Geophilomorpha, Linotaeniidae.
UUCUAAAUGAUACUUCUUCUAACAUUGCUGCACUGUUGGUAACAUUGCUGCACUGUUGGCAACAGUGCAGCAAUGUUAGAAGAAGUAUCAUUUGGAA